UAUUAAAAUCCAUUAGUAAAGUGCAAAAAAGAGUAAGAUUAUCAAAUUCUCACUUGUUCCACAAAUUAAUAAUAAUACAAACAAUAAAUCACUAGUAUGUCUAGAUUAUUUAUAAACCAGCUCAUUACUUAACCGGAUUUGAAUAAUAGACGCAAGCAUUAAAGAAAUAUUGUACCAUAGAAUAAUUUAUUAACAUAUAAAUUUAAUAUCUGAAUCUUGAUGUUAAAAUUCACAGAAUUUGGUUGAUGAAUUCCGAACAAGAAGACGAGAAGUAAAAGGUGAAUGCAGAAUUAAAUGAAAGUCUGCGGAAAGUAGAAAUUAAUAAGAGAGUGAUAGAAACAGCUGUCACGAAGUCUGGUUCUGUUGGGAGCUUAUGUUUCUCAUAUCAACAUCAGCCGAGUCGGGCAAUAUAAAUGCAGCUCUCCUCUGUUGAGCAAGAGAUCCAAGACGCAAGACGUAAAACUGAGAUUACAUUUAUAACAAUAAACCCCUGGUGUACUAGCAGUUACCAGCAUAAAAUAUAAAAUUUCGCGCUUACCUCCAGGUGCUUAAGGGAUUUCCGCCUCGCAAGAGGAAGAAGAAAUAACUUCCAGGAUUGAAUUUUCUUCGAGAGACAUAAAACAUCUGGAGAACUUUCCCGAAUGAAUUUCAGUCAAACAUUUGCGCAAGUAAAACUCCCGGAAAGUUUACCAGGACAAUGAGAGAAGCUUAUAAUGUUGUAAGUACUGCCGGGUUGUUCUUGUUACAGACUCGAACAGAUGGGCAAGCCGCGAGAGUGGCAAACACUGUAAUCAACGAUGAAAACGCAAACCUCUGUCGCCUAUCAGCGAUGAGAAUACUCUUGUACUUGCUUACUAGCAAAAACUUUAUCGAAAAAGUUUUUUUUUUUUUUUUUUUUUUUAAUAAAAUUGUUGAUCAUUUGGC
This is a long non-coding RNA of Cotesia glomerata, 924 nucleotides long. RefSeq lists it as uncharacterized. NCBI's taxonomy places the organism in Eukaryota, Metazoa, Arthropoda, Insecta, Hymenoptera, Braconidae. The record is from RefSeq and is a predicted model, not a curated record. The transcript is spliced from 3 exons.